GAAGAAGCGUCCAAACAUGAGACUUUGAACAGUAUAUAUCAUCUCCAUUGAUGAGAGCUCAAAGACGCAGAAUCUCUCGCCAAUGCUCGUGAGGGAAGCGCAGGAGAUGUGCUUUAAGACCCUAAUGUGGAAGGAAUUUUGAAGAACAUAGUCCUAGAUGAAGAAGAAGAAGAAGAAGGCGAGGAUUGAGGACGGUCUCUACGAAACCAGCUCCACGUAGACCGCAGAAAUGAUGGGAGUAUGAUCUUAUUCUUUGAUGAAGUGAGUGGGGGACUGACUGUCCAGACCCAAUGUCGCCCUUGCCCUUCCCGUCGUCUUCUUCGGCAGCAGCGUCUGGUGGAUGAUGGGCAAGACGCCGCCGUUGGCGAUGGCCACCGAGCCCAGGAACAUGCUCAGCUCCUGUUCUUCUUGUUGUCCCUCGCCGCAUUCCCAGCUAGCUCCAGCACCUGGAUCGACGCAACAAAGUCAAUCGAGAGUUGCGGACACUGCGGAGGACACUGUCGACUUUAUCUUGAGAAAUGAGUGUGGUUCUCAACACAAAAGACGCAUUUUUCUUUUUGUGGUUUCUGAACAUUAUCAAUUCUUUGGAAUCCGACACAAUCUUCCCAUGAUGUGUUUUGCCAUAUCUUAAUUAGUGACUAUUAGUCGCUAGUCUUCAGUGUAUUUAUCUUAUUGCGUUUCACAUAUGUCGUUCCCCAAAGGCAGCCAGCAUCCCAUUUGAAUCAAGUAGAAUUAAAGGAAUAAUUUAUGGUUCUUCUUGCUCUUUUCUCAACCUAUGCAAUGUCAAUUACAUACUUGAUUUUUGGGAGAUGUCCCAAUCUUCCUUCUUACAUGUAUAUGCGAUGUGACAUAAUUGGGACAAUUUUUCAUAAAUGUCGGCAUAUCAUGUUU
Molecule: long non-coding RNA, 891 nt
Organism: Eucalyptus grandis
Lineage: Eukaryota; Viridiplantae; Streptophyta; Magnoliopsida; Myrtales; Myrtaceae
Exons: 2
Source: RefSeq, a predicted model, not a curated record